UACGGAGGGUGCAAGCGUUGUCCGGAUUUAUUGGGUUUAAAGGGUGCGUAGGCGGCUUUUUAAGUCAGUGGUGAAAGACAACAGCUCAACUGUUGCAGUGCCAUUGAUACUGAAGAGCUUGAGUACAGAUGAGGUAGGCGGAAUUUAUGGUGUAGCGGUGAAAUGCAUAGACACCAUAAAGAACACCUAUUGCGAAGGCAGCUUACUAAGCUGUAACUGACGCUGAGGCACGAAAGUGUGGGGAUCAAACAGG
Molecule: ribosomal RNA, 253 nt
Filed under: uncultured bacterium
Lineage: Bacteria
Description: partial 16S ribosomal RNA
Rfam family: Bacterial small subunit ribosomal RNA
Source: RNAcentral